Molecule: small nucleolar RNA, 129 nt
Filed under: Echinops telfairi (small Madagascar hedgehog)
Lineage: Eukaryota; Metazoa; Chordata; Mammalia; Afrosoricida; Tenrecidae
Description: Small nucleolar RNA SNORA65 (ENSETEG00000023315.1)
Rfam family: Small nucleolar RNA SNORA65
About the family: U65 belongs to the H/ACA class of snoRNAs which are thought to guide the sites of modification of uridines to pseudouridines.
Source: RNAcentral
CCCGCCACUUCACCUGACCCUUCUCUGUUGGCUGGUGCAAUCCAGUGUUGAGCUGAGAGUAAACCCCAAAUUAGGAAACAGGAUUGUUCUUCAUGUGCAUGACUCCAUGCCAAAAGCAUGGGGACAGUC